Molecule: ribosomal RNA, 460 nt
Filed under: uncultured bacterium
Lineage: Bacteria
Description: partial 16S ribosomal RNA
Rfam family: Bacterial small subunit ribosomal RNA
Source: RNAcentral
CCUACGUGCGGCUGCAGUGAGGAAUAUUGGUCAAUGGGCUUACGCCUGAACCAGCCAAGUCGCGUGAGGGAAGACUGCCCUAUGGGUUGUAAACCUCUUUUGUCAGGGAGCAACGCCGGCUACGUGUAGCCGGACUGAGAAUACCUGAAGAAAAAGCAUCGGCUUACUCCGUGCCAGCAGCCGCGGUAAUACGGAUGAUGCGAGCGUUAUCCGGAUUUAUUGGGUUUAAAGGGUGCGUAGGCGGAAUGCCAAGUCAGCGGUAAAAUCGCGGGGCUCAACCUCGUUCCGCCGUUGAAACUGGCGUUCUUGAGUGGGCGAGAAGUAUGCGGAAUGCGUGGGGUAGCGGUGAUAUGCAUAGAUAUCACGCAGAACUCCGAUUGCGAAGGCAGCAUACCGGCGCCCAACUGACGCUGAAGCACGAAAGCGUGGGUAUCGAACAGGAUUAGAUACCCCAGUAGUC